CGAAAGCCUGACGCAGCGACGCCGCGUGGAGGAUGAAGGUCUUCGGAUUGUAAACUCCUGUCAGAGGUGAAGAAAGCCCUUUUGGGUCUGACGGUAACCUCAGAGGAAGCCCCGGCUAACUACGUGCCAGCAGCCGCGGUAAUACGGAGGAGGCAAGCGUUAUCCGGAAUUAUUGGGCGUAAAGCGUCCGCAGGUGGCGAUUCAAGUCUGCUGUCAAAGCACGGGGCUUAACUCCGUUAAGGCAGUGGAAACUGAAUGGCUAGAGUGCCGUAGGGGUAGAGGGAAUUCCCGGUGUAGCGGUGAAAUGCGUAGAGAUCGGGAAGAACAUCGGUGGCGAAAGCGCUCUACUGGACGGCAACUGACACUCAGGGACGAAAGCUAGGGGAGCG
This 389-nucleotide ribosomal RNA is filed under the name uncultured cyanobacterium. RNAcentral's name for it is "bacterial SSU rRNA". It matches the Rfam family "Bacterial small subunit ribosomal RNA", at positions 376 to 770 of the family's 1533-position model. Lineage: Bacteria; Bacillati; Cyanobacteriota. The record is from RNAcentral.